UCGAGGGGCAUCGGGGAGCGAAGCUUGCUUUGCUCCGCCGGCGACCGGCGCACGGGUGAGUAACGCGUAUGCAACCUGCCCGUUUCAGCGGGAUAACCCGGAGAAAUCCGGCCUAAUACCGCAUGUGGCCGAGGGAAGGCAUCUUCUUUCGGCCAAAGGAGGCGACUCCGGAGACGGAUGGGCAUGCGUGACAUUAGCUUGUUGGCGGGGUAACGGCCCACCAAGGCGACGAUGUCUAGGGGUUCUGAGAGGAAGGUCCCCCACGCUGGUACUGAGACACGGACCAGACUCAUACGGGAGGCAGCAGUGAGGAAUAUUGGUCAAUGGGCGAGAGCCUGAACCAGCCAAGUCGCGUGAAGGAUGACGGCCCUACGGGUUGUAAACUUCUUUUGUCAGGGAGCAAUUGGGUCCACGCGUGGGCUUAGCGAGAGUACCUGAAGAAAAAGCAUCGGCUAACUCCGUGCCAGCAGCCGCGGUAAUACGGAGGAUGCGAGCGUUAUCCGGAUUUAUUGGGUUUAAAGGGUGCGUAGGCGGGUUAUCAAGUCAGCGGUAAAAUCGUGGAGCUCAACUCCAUCCAGCCGUUGAAACUGAUGAUCUUGAGUGGGCGAGAAGUAUGCGGAAUGCGUGGUGUAGCGGUGAAAUGCAUAGAUAUCACGCACAACUCCGAUUGCGAAGGCAGCAUACCGGCGCCCGACUGACGCUGAAGCACGAAAGCGUGAGUAUCGAACAGGAUUAGAUACCCUGGUACUCCACGCAGUAAACGAUGAAUACUAGUUGUGUGCUCCGAAUGAUGAGUGCGUGAUAC
RNAcentral lists this ribosomal RNA (805 nucleotides) under uncultured bacterium. RNAcentral describes it as "bacterial SSU rRNA". It matches the Rfam family "Bacterial small subunit ribosomal RNA", at positions 62 to 849 of the family's 1533-position model. The record is from RNAcentral.